GUGUUCAUUGGCAGCUCCCAUACUAAAACUGGACCAAUACAGAGAAGAUUAGCACAAUCCCUGUGCAGGCUGACAUGAAAACUCAUGCAGUGUUCCAUAUUUUA
Molecule: small nuclear RNA, 104 nt
Organism: Mustela putorius furo (domestic ferret)
Lineage: Eukaryota; Metazoa; Chordata; Mammalia; Carnivora; Mustelidae
Source: Ensembl